GACGAACGCUGGCGGCGUGCUUAACACAUGCAAGUCGAACGGAAAGGCCCUGCUUUUGUGGGGUGCUCGAGUGGCGAACGGGUGAGUAACACGUGAGUAACCUGCCCUUGACUUUGGGAUAACUUCAGGAAACUGGGGCUAAUACCGGCUAGGAGCUCCUGCUGCAUGGUGGGGGUUGGAAAGUUUCGGCGGUUGGGGAUGGACUCGCGGCUUAUCAGCUUGUUGGUGGGGUAGUGGCUUACCAAGGCUUUGACGGGUAGCCGGGCUGAGAGGGUGACCGGCCACAUUGGGACUGAGAUACGGCCCAGACUCCUACGGGAGGGAGGAGUGGGGAAUAUUGCACAAGGGGCGGAAGCCUGAUGCAGCAAAGCCGCGUGCGGGAUGACGGCCUUCGGGUUGGAAACCGCUUUUCCCUGUGACGAAGCGUUAGUGACGGUAAUGGGUAAAGAAGCACCGGCUAACUACGUG
RNAcentral lists this ribosomal RNA (468 nucleotides) under uncultured bacterium. RNAcentral describes it as "partial 16S ribosomal RNA". It matches the Rfam family "Bacterial small subunit ribosomal RNA", at positions 28 to 507 of the family's 1533-position model. The record is from RNAcentral.